Molecule: ribosomal RNA, 447 nt
Filed under: uncultured bacterium
Lineage: Bacteria
Description: bacterial SSU rRNA
Rfam family: Bacterial small subunit ribosomal RNA
Source: RNAcentral
CCAGACUCCUACGGGAGGCAGCAGUGAGGGAUAUUGGGCAAUGGGGGAAACCCUGACCCAGCGACGCCGCGUGAGGGAAGACGGUCUUCGGAUUGUAAACCUCUGUCUUUGGGGACGAAAAAGGACGGUACCCAAGGAGGAAGCUCCGGCUAACUACGUGCCAGCAGCCGCGGUAAUACGUAGGUGGCAAGCGUUAUCCGGAUUUACUGGGUGUAAAGGGCGUGUAGGCGGGACUGCAAGUCAGAUGUGAAAACCAUGGGCUCAACCCAUGGCCUGCAUUUGAAACUGUAGUUCUUGAGUGUUGGAGAGGCAGGCGGAAUUCCGUGUGUAGCGGUGAAAUGCGUAGAUAUACGGAGGAACACCAGUGGCGAAGGCGGCCUGCUGGACAAUAACUGACGCUGAGGCGCGAAAGCGUGGGGAGCAAACAGGAUUAGAUACCCGAGUACG